This 215-nucleotide long non-coding RNA is filed under the name Elaeis guineensis (African oil palm). RNAcentral's name for it is "long non-coding RNA (EGUI_LNC003682)". The record is from RNAcentral. Lineage: Eukaryota; Viridiplantae; Streptophyta; Magnoliopsida; Arecales; Arecaceae.
GGGGUGUUUAGUGGGUGCUCGUCAGCUGUCUCCAACCAUCCUUUUGGUUGCGGACUUGUCAAUAUCUUGAAGGUGGAUAAAGGUAGACCUCGUCCAGCCAUGUCAGCUGGGCCAGGGGCUCCACAUCAUCUGACGAAUGGAUGAUUGACACGUCAUUGGAUAGGAUUUGGGGAAUCACGCCCAAGCUAGGUCGUCUGACACCCCUGGGGAGGAAA